GACGAACGCUGGCGGCGUGCCUAAUACAUGCAAGUCGAACGCAGUGGGGACGGUUGAUUAACACGUGGGUAACCUCCCCUCAGAGGGGAUAACCCUUGGCAACAGGUGCUAAACCGAUACUGAUUGAUGGACCCGCGGUGCAUGAGCUAGUUGGUGAGGUAACGGCUCACCAAGGCCACGAGGCAUAGCCGACCUGAGAGGGUGAUCGGCCACACUGGGAAUGAGACACGGCCCAGACUCCUACGGGAGGCAGCAGUAGGGAAUCUUCGGCAAUGGACGAAAGUCUGACCGAGCAAUGCCGCGUGAGUGAAGAAGGUUUUCGGAUCGUAAAACUCUGUUGGUAGAGAAGCGGUAUCUAAACAGAAAGCCACGGCUAACUACGUGCCAGCAGCCGCGGUAAUUC
Molecule: ribosomal RNA, 403 nt
Filed under: uncultured bacterium
Lineage: Bacteria
Description: partial 16S ribosomal RNA
Rfam family: Bacterial small subunit ribosomal RNA
Source: RNAcentral